This 463-nucleotide ribosomal RNA is filed under the name uncultured bacterium. RNAcentral's name for it is "partial 16S ribosomal RNA". It matches the Rfam family "Bacterial small subunit ribosomal RNA", at positions 339 to 795 of the family's 1533-position model. The record is from RNAcentral.
CUACGGGUCGCUGCAGUGAGGAGUUUUGCGCAAUGGGGGAAACCCUGACGCAGCAACGCCGCGUGAGCGAAGAAGGCCUUCGGGUCGUAAAGCUCUGUCAAGUGGGAAAAAAAUUCUUUGAUGAACAGUCAAAGGACUUGAUGGUACCACUGGAGGAAGCACCGGCGAACUCCGUGCCAGCAGCCGCGGUAAUACGGAGGGUGCAAGCGUUGUUCGGAAUUACUGGGCGUAAAGAGCGUGUAGGCGGUUUGACAAGUCAGAUGUGAAAGCCCCGGGCUCAACCCGGGAAGUGCAUUUGAAACUGUUUCACUAGAGUAUGGGAGGGGAGAUUGGAAUUCCUGGUGUAGAGGUGAAAUUCGUAGAUAUCAGGAGGAACACCCGUGGCGAAGGCGAUUCUCUGGACCAAUACUGACGCUGAGACGCGAAAGCGUGGGGAGCAAACAGGAUUAAUACCCGGGUAGUC